AUUGAACGCUGGCGGCAUGCCUUACACAUGCAAGUCGAACGGUAACAGGUCUUCGGAUGCUGACGAGUGGCGAACGGGUGAGUAAUACAUCGGAACGUGCCUAGUAGUGGGGGAUAACUACUCGAAAGAGUGGCUAGUACCGCAUGAGAUCUACGGAUGAAAGCAGGGGAUCGCAAGACCUUGUGCUACUAGAGCGGCCGAUGGCAGAUUAGGUAGUUGGUGGGGGAAAAGCUUACCAAGCCGACGAUCUGUAGCUGGUCUGAGAGGACGAUCAGCCACACUGGGAGUGAGACACGGCCCAGACUCCUACGGGAGGCAGCAGUGGGGAAUUUUGGACAAUGGGCGCAAGCCUGAUCCAGCAAUGCCGAGUGCAGGAUGAAGGCCUUCGGGUUGUAAACUGCUUUUGUACGGAACGAAAAGCCCUGGGUUAAUACCCUGGGGUCAUGACGGUACCGUAAGAAUAAGCACCGGCUAACUACGUGCCAGCAGCCGCCGUAA
Molecule: ribosomal RNA, 498 nt
Filed under: uncultured bacterium
Lineage: Bacteria
Description: partial 16S ribosomal RNA
Rfam family: Bacterial small subunit ribosomal RNA
Source: RNAcentral